AGCUGGCUUUUUAUGAUUAGUUUCGACCUAAUCUUUUUUUGGCUAGGG
RNAcentral lists this transfer RNA (48 nucleotides) under Lardoglyphus konoi. RNAcentral's name for it is "tRNA-Arg". Lineage: Eukaryota; Metazoa; Arthropoda; Arachnida; Sarcoptiformes; Lardoglyphidae. The record is from RNAcentral.